AUAGCUGCAGUAAGGUGACUGUACAAAGGUAGCAUAAUAAGUUGUUUUUUAAAUGGAAACUAGAAUGAAAGAAUUGAUGAGGUCUUAACUGUCUCAGAUUGAAAAUUUGAAUUUAUUUUUUAAGUAAAAAUGCUUAAAUAAUUAUAUGGGACGAGAAGACCCUAUAGAAUUUUAUAUAAAUUAAUCAAUAAAAUAAGUUUAGUGUAAAUGGUUAGAGUAUAUUUGAUUGGGAGGAUCAUUAAAUUAAGUUAACUUUAAUUUAUUUAAUAAAUAUAUAUAAAUGAAUUUAGGAAUGGUUAGUAAAUUAAGUAAGAAUUAAUUACCUUAGGGAUAACAGCGUAAUAUCUUUGGAGAGUUCAUAUUAAUAAAGAUGAUUGCGACCUCGAUGUUGAAUUAAGAUAAAAAUCAAAUGAAGAAGUUUGAUAUUUAAGUCUGUUCGACUUUUAGAAUCUUACGUGAUCUGAGUUCA
Molecule: ribosomal RNA, 469 nt
Filed under: Crematogaster sp. BAH_28362_B09
Lineage: Eukaryota; Metazoa; Arthropoda; Insecta; Hymenoptera; Formicidae
Description: partial 16S ribosomal RNA
Rfam family: Bacterial large subunit ribosomal RNA
Source: RNAcentral